UACAGAGGGGGCAAGCGUUGUUCGGAAUUACUGGGCGUAAAGGGCGCGUAGGCGGCCUGCUAAGUCGAACGUGAAAUCCCUGGGCUCAACCCAGGAACUGCGUCCGAUACUGGUUGGCUUGAAUCCGGGAGAGGGAUGUGGAAUUCCAGGUGUAGCGGUGAAAUGCGUAGAUAUCUGGAGGAACACCGGUGGCGAAGGCGACAUCCUGGACCGGUAUUGAUGCUGAGGCGCGAAAGCCAGGGGAGCAAACGGG
RNAcentral lists this ribosomal RNA (253 nucleotides) under uncultured bacterium. RNAcentral describes it as "partial 16S ribosomal RNA". It matches the Rfam family "Bacterial small subunit ribosomal RNA", at positions 524 to 776 of the family's 1533-position model. The record is from RNAcentral.